UACGUAGGCAGCGAGCGUUGUUCGGAGUUACUGGGCGUAAAGGGUGUGUAGGCGGUUGUUUAAGUUUGGUGUGAAAUCUCCCGGCUCAACUGGGGAGGGUGCGCCGAAUACUGAAUGACUCGAGUGCGGGAGAGGAAAGUGGAAUUCCUGGUGUAGCGGUGAAAUGCGUAGAUAUCAGGAGGAACACCGGUGGUGUAGACGGCUUUCUGGACCGUAACUGACGCUGAGACACGAAAGCGUGGGUAGCAAACAGG
This 254-nucleotide ribosomal RNA is filed under the name uncultured bacterium. RNAcentral describes it as "partial 16S ribosomal RNA". It matches the Rfam family "Bacterial small subunit ribosomal RNA", at positions 524 to 776 of the family's 1533-position model. The record is from RNAcentral.